Molecule: microRNA precursor, 119 nt
Organism: Equus asinus (donkey)
Lineage: Eukaryota; Metazoa; Chordata; Mammalia; Perissodactyla; Equidae
Source: Ensembl
UUAUUUAUUUAUUUAGUGAGGAAGAUUGGCACAGUGUUAGCUCAGUGACAGUUUUGUGAGGAAGAUUGUCACUGAGCUAACACUGUGCCAGUCUUCCUCUAUUUUGUAUGUGGGAUGCC